RNAcentral lists this non-coding RNA (82 nucleotides) under Edaphosphingomonas laterariae. The record is from RNAcentral. Lineage: Bacteria; Pseudomonadati; Pseudomonadota; Alphaproteobacteria; Sphingomonadales; Rhizorhabdaceae.
UUCUAUGGUCGGGCGUGCGGGAGGCCUUGUGCCUGCCGCUGCCGUCGUGGCGGUCUGCAAACCCGCGCGUCCGGCCACCAGA